Molecule: ribosomal RNA, 466 nt
Filed under: uncultured ammonia-oxidizing beta proteobacterium
Lineage: Bacteria; Pseudomonadati; Pseudomonadota; Betaproteobacteria
Description: bacterial SSU rRNA
Rfam family: Bacterial small subunit ribosomal RNA
Source: RNAcentral
GGAGGAAAGUAGGGGAUCGUAAGACCUUGCGCUUUUGGAGUGGCCGAUGCCUGAUUAGCUAGUUGGUGGGGUAAGAGCCUACCAAGGCGACGACCAGUAGUUGGUCUGAGAGGACGACCAGCCACACUGGGACUGAGACACGGCCCAGACUCCUACGGGAGGCAGCAGUGGGGAAUUUUGGACAAUGGGCGAAAGCCUGAUCCAGCAAUGCCGCGUGAGUGAAGAAGGCCUUCGGGUUGUAAAGCUCUUUCAGUCGAGAAGAAAAGGUCGCGACUAAUAAUCGCGACUCAUGACGGUAUCGACAGAAGAAGCACCGGCUAACUACGUGCCAGCAGCCGCGGUAAUACGUAGGGUGCGAGCGUUAAUCGGAAUUACUGGGCGUAAAGGGUGCGCAGGCGGCUUUGUAAGUCAGAUGUGAAAUCCCCGGGCUUAACCUGGGAAUUGCGUUUGAAACUACAAAGCUAGA